UUAGGAUCUAGACCUGACAUAUCUUCAUACAACCAUGCAAAAAUAUCUGGAUACUCUCGGAGGAGCUGGAUGAUCUUCUUUUUAACCCCUUCCCUAGAGCAGCACUGAUCUUAAUUUCUCGCUUGUUCUCUUCGGUACCUAUGUUGAUGAGUUCAAUCUCUUCUUGG
This 167-nucleotide microRNA precursor is filed under the name Medicago truncatula (barrel medic). RNAcentral's name for it is "MIR2680 microRNA precursor family". It matches the Rfam family "MIR2680 microRNA precursor family". Lineage: Eukaryota; Viridiplantae; Streptophyta; Magnoliopsida; Fabales; Fabaceae. The record is from Rfam by way of RNAcentral.